Molecule: ribosomal RNA, 472 nt
Filed under: uncultured bacterium
Lineage: Bacteria
Description: bacterial SSU rRNA
Rfam family: Bacterial small subunit ribosomal RNA
Source: RNAcentral
UGGGGAAUUUUGGACAAUGGGCGCAAGCCUGAUCCAGCCAUACCGCGUGAGUGAAGAAGGCCUUCGGGUUGUAAAGCUCUUUCAGACGGAAAGAAACGGUUACGGCUAAUACCCGUGACUAAUGACGGUACCGUAAGAAGAAGCACCGGCUAACUACGUGCCAGCAGCCGCGGUAAUACGUAGGGUGCGAGCGUUAAUCGGAAUUACUGGGCGUAAAGCGUGCGCAGGCGGUUUGGUAAGACAGAUGUGAAAUCCCCGGGCUUAACCUGGGAACUGCAUUUGUGACUGCCAGACUAGAGUGUAGCAGAGGGGGGUAGAAUUCCACGUGUAGCAGUGAAAUGCGUAGAUAUGUGGAGGAAUACCGAUGGCGAAGGCAGCCCCCUGGGCUAACACUGACGCUCAUGCACGAAAGCGUGGGGAGCAAACAGGAUUAGAUACCCUCGUAGUCCCUGAGCGGGCUGGCAAGGCGCAU